UACGUAGGAGGCGAGCGUUGUCCGGAAUUACUGGGCGUAAAGCGUGCGCAGGCGGUUCGUUGUGUCGGCGGUGAAAGCCCCGGGCUCAACCUGGGAAUGGCCGUUGAAACUGGCGAACUGGAGUGUGGCAGAGGGGGGUGGAAUUCCGCGUGUAGCAGUGAAAUGCGUAGAGAUGCGGAGGAACACCGAUGGCGAAGGCAGCCCCCUGGGCUGACACUGACGCUCAGGCACGAAAGCGUGGGGAGCAAACAGG
Molecule: ribosomal RNA, 253 nt
Filed under: uncultured bacterium
Lineage: Bacteria
Description: partial 16S ribosomal RNA
Rfam family: Bacterial small subunit ribosomal RNA
Source: RNAcentral